Molecule: non-coding RNA, 479 nt
Organism: Arachis ipaensis
Lineage: Eukaryota; Viridiplantae; Streptophyta; Magnoliopsida; Fabales; Fabaceae
Source: RefSeq, a predicted model, not a curated record
UUUUUCUAUCUUGCUGCCACUGAAGGUCCAUCGCCGCCAAUCUACGCCACUGCUGAAGAUGAGUUGUGUUUGCUCUUGCUUCCUAUUCGAUUCAAAUCCUUUGUCCUGUUGCAACCAUCGUCGCUGCCUUAAGAAAAUGAGACUGCUAUUAUUCCGGUUAAUGCUUCUGCUGCCGCCGUUUUCUCGUUCUAUUAUUGUCUAAUUGAGGUAAGGCAUUCUGGCUCUUGCUUCAAUUUGAGUUAGCAUGGAGUUUACAGAAUUUUUACUAUUAUCCUAUUUGAAUUCACCGUUUCUGAUUGCUGCCGUGACCACCUCACGAUGCUGCUGGUUCUAUUUGAAAAUGGCUGCUACUUCUGGAAUCCCAGAUCGGAGAGGAUAGGAGGCGUUUCACUUUGUCAUUGUUGCUGCCAUGGAAAUAGAUGCUGGAAACUGCUAAUGGAGCAGCUGCGUUUAGUGAUUUUUGCGAGUUUCGACUUUGA